RNAcentral lists this long non-coding RNA (898 nucleotides) under Marmota monax (woodchuck). Lineage: Eukaryota; Metazoa; Chordata; Mammalia; Rodentia; Sciuridae. The record is from RNAcentral.
GUAGUUUUCCUCAUUUCCUUCUCAGAGGAUUUGUCACUGAUAUACAGAAAUGCCUUUGAUUUAUGGGUGUUGAUUUUAUAUCCUGCUAAUUGCUGAAUUUAUUUACUAGUUCUAGAAGUUUUCUGGUGGAGUUUUUUGAGUCUUCUAGGUAUAGAAACAUAUCGUCAGCAAAUAGAGCUAGUUUAAGUUCUUCUUUUCCUAUACAUAUCCUUUUAAUUUCUUUCGUCUAAUUGCUCUGGCCAGUGUUUCAAGAACUAUGUUGAAUAGAAGUGAGAAAGAGGGCAUCCCUGUCUUGUUCCAGAUUUUAGAGGGAAUACCUUCAAUUUUUCUCUGUGUAGAAUGAUAUUGGCCUGAGGCUCUUAGUGUAGCUAGCCUUUACCAAGUUGAGAUAUAUUCCUGUUAUCCCUAGUUUUUCUAGUGUUUUGAAUAUAAAGAGCUGUAUUUUGUCAAAUGCUUUUUAUGCAUCUAUUGAGAUGAUCAUAUGAUUCUUAUCUUUAAGUCUAUUGGUGUGAUUAAUUACAUUUAUUGAUUUCCAUAUGUUGAACCAACCUUGCAUCCCUGGGAUGAAUCCCACUUGAUCAUGGUGCACAAUCUUUUUGAUAUGUUUUUGUAAUUGAUUUGUGAGAAUUUUAUUGAGAAUUUUUUGCAUCUAUGUUAAUUAGAGAUAUUGGUCUGAAGUUUUCUUUCUUUGAAGUGUCUUUGUCUGGUUUUGGAAUUAGGGUGAUAUUGGCCUCAUAGAAUGAGUUUGCUAGUGCUCCCACUUUUUCUAUUUCCUGAAAUAAAUUGAAGAGUAUUGGUAUUAGUUCUUCUUUAAAGGUCUUGUAGAACUCGGCUGUGUAUCCAUCAGGUCCUGGGCUUUUCUUGAUUGGUUAUCUUUUGAUGGCUUCUUCUAUUUCCU